Non-coding RNA from Salmo salar (Atlantic salmon), 1831 nucleotides. NCBI's taxonomy places the organism in Eukaryota, Metazoa, Chordata, Actinopteri, Salmoniformes, Salmonidae. The record is from RefSeq and is a predicted model, not a curated record.
CUGUGAUCUAGCUCCUCAUCCCGUGUGCUUGAGGACUGUGUUUACAUGCUGUUGUGACAGCCGUCCAACCCGGGAGCAGACAGAAAACAUGUACCGUGGAUGAGGGAAGACAUUCCGUGGAACAGGAGACAGUGUGCAGCUGCAGAGGGAAGGGGCUCGGAGGGCCUGGGAGUGAGACGGAGAGAGAGAAACAGGACUUAAUGAGUGACUCUGUGCCAGUGGAUCUGCAUGUUCCAGGGCUUUGCUUUGAGAAAGUACACUUCGAUACCAUCGUUACUAGACAGUCCUGUGGGGCUCCAUAACGACCAUAAAAUCUGCCUGUACUGGAGGACCAGACCAUCUGUACGUUACUGUAAAAAGAACAGAGAGAAAAGGACAAGCAGCGUCUUGUGGCUGGGUUUCCCCAAUGCCAACUGGCUGUGCUGGUUCCUUGACUGGUACGUUUCUAGCCAGCCCAGUUAAGGUAUGGUAGGUAAAGCCUACAGUACACUAUGUCCCUCUAGCUCAAUCCUUAGUUGAACACACAUUAUUUUCCACUUCUCUCUCUCGUCUAGGCCUAUAAAGUAUCUGUUGCAGAUGAAAUCCAUCAUCUGAUGUGAGUCUUCAAGACCGUUCUAGUUCAGUGGGAGAGGAAACCAAAGUAAACUAAAUCAAAAGAUUACAGUCUGGGUAAACACAGAUUAUGGGAAGAACGGGAUGAAGGAAAUAUGGAAACCAAAGGAUAAAACUACUUUGUAUUAGCACUGGUUUUCCUCCAUCUAAACCUGUUUGAGUUGGCCUCUGCGUUUUGGGGUUCUUUAAAUCUGUCUCACCACAUUUACUGUAAGUGUUGCUUUAGAUCAGACACUGAUACCUACUGCUGUGCUGAGAUACCAUAUCAACCAAUUAUUAAGCAUUUGAGCGUAAUGUUUGAAAAGCACUUUACAAAUAAUGUUCUCAUUGUCUAUGAUUAAUCAAACAACAUAUAGGAAAUACAAUGAUGAUGAGAUGGAGCGCUUAUUGUCCCCAUUCCCUUUCCCUCUUCUGUCCCUCAUCUCUCUCCCCCCAUCCCUCACUAUUCUCUUUUUCUUAGGAUAUCCCACAGUCUGCAGCAGCAUUAUUUGUUAUAUAUAUAUAUAUAUAUAUAUAUAUAUAUUUUUUUUACCCAUCCACAACCCUCUUCAGAGGACACACAUCUUGCUUUUCUGCUACAUAUACAUAUUUUGCAUACAUGGUACUUUUACAUAAAGCAAUCACAUAACAAUAAUACAUUACCAAACAAACUCUUUAAUCCCACCCCUCAGCCACUCUCAGCCCAUCCCACCUAUCAUCAUAGGCCACCCUCGUUUGGUUUCCAUGUGCCAUAUAUUUUUCAAUUGUGCUGUGAUGUUUUCCAUACAUUUUGAACUUUUCUAAUCGUAUAGUAUCCACAGAUUGUGAUCUAAAGAUGAGAACCUGUCACGACUUCCACCGAAGUCGGUCCCUCUCCUUGUUCGGGCGGCGUUCGGCGGUCGACGUCACCGGUCUUCUAGCCAUCGCCGAUCCACCUUUCAUUUUCCAUUUGUUUUGUCUUGUUUUCCCACACACCUGGUCAUCAUUCCCUCGUUACAUGUCGUGUAUUUAACCCUCUGUUCCCCCCAUGUCUAUGUGUGUAAUUGUUUAUUGUUGAGGUUGGCACGCUUCCGGCUGGUUUGCGCCGGGUUUAUUUUAUUACCCGUGCUUUGUGGCAGCCUGUACUUUGUACUUGUGUUUUUGUACUGUGUGCUGCCUCACUGGUUCGUUGGGCAUUUGUUUUGUGACGCAGUUGCGUUCUGUGCAAAUGAUUGCCUUAGUAAAGUGCUUUGUCCACUCA